GAUGAACGCUGGCGGCGUGCCUAAUACAUGCAAGUCGAGCGAACGGACGAGAAGCUUGCUUCUCUGAUGUUAGCGGCGGACGGGUGAGUAACACGUGGAUAACCUACCUAUAAGACUGGGAUAACUUCGGGAAACCGGAGCUAAUACCGGAUAAUAUUUUGAACCGCAUGGUUCAAAAGUAAAAGACGGUCUUGCUGUCACUUAUAGAUGGAUCCGCGCUGCAUUAGCUAGUUGGUAAGGUAACGGCUUACCACGGCAACGAUGCAUAGCCGACCUGAGAGGGUGAUCGGCCACACUGGAACUGAGACACGGUCCAGACGCCUACGGGAGGCAGCAGUAGGGAAUCUUCCGCAAUGGGCGAAAGCCUGACGGAGCAACGCCGCGUGAGUGAUGAAGGUCUUCGGAUCGUAAAACUCUGUUAUUAGGGAAGAACAUAUGUGUAAGUAACUGUGCACAUCUUGACGGUACCUAAUCAGAAAGCCACGGCUAACUACGUG
Molecule: ribosomal RNA, 497 nt
Filed under: uncultured bacterium
Lineage: Bacteria
Description: partial 16S ribosomal RNA
Rfam family: Bacterial small subunit ribosomal RNA
Source: RNAcentral